Molecule: ribosomal RNA, 346 nt
Filed under: uncultured bacterium
Lineage: Bacteria
Description: partial 16S ribosomal RNA
Rfam family: Bacterial small subunit ribosomal RNA
Source: RNAcentral
CCUACGGGAGGCUGCAGUGAGGAAUAUUGGUCAAUGGCCGAAAGGCUGAACCAGCCAAGUCGCGUGAAGGAAGAAGGAUCUAUGGGUUGUAAACUUCUUUUAUAGGGGAAUAAAGGGAGGCACGUGUGGAAAUUUGCAUGUACCCUAUGAAUAAGGAUCGGCUAACUCCGUGCCAGCAGCCGCGGUAAUACGGAGGAUGCGAGCGUUAUCCGGAUUUAUUGGGUUUAAAGGGUGCGUAGGUGGUUUGUUAAGUCAGCUGUGAAAGUUUGUGGCUCAACCCUAAAAUUGCCGUUGAAACUGGCAGUCUUGAGUGUGUUUGAGGUAGGCGGAAUGCGUGGUGUAGCGG